Molecule: ribosomal RNA, 2595 nt
Filed under: Vibrio parahaemolyticus
Lineage: Bacteria; Pseudomonadati; Pseudomonadota; Gammaproteobacteria; Vibrionales; Vibrionaceae
Description: partial 23S ribosomal RNA
Rfam family: Bacterial large subunit ribosomal RNA
Source: RNAcentral
AAGUCCGACGAUACAGGGUGAUAGUCCCGUAGUUGACGACGUGUGUUCAGUGAAAUCGAGUAGGGCGGGACACGUGAUAUCCUGUCUGAAUAUGGGGGGACCAUCCUCCAAGGCUAAAUACUACUGACUGACCGAUAGUGAACCAGUACCGUGAGGGAAAGGCGAAAAGAACCCCUGUGAGGGGAGUGAAAUAGAACCUGAAACCGUGUACGUACAAGCAGUAGGAGCACCUUCGUGGUGUGACUGCGUACCUUUUGUAUAAUGGGUCAGCGACUUAUAUUCAGUGGCAAGGUUAACCAUCUAGGGGAGCCGUAGGGAAACCGAGUCUUAACUGGGCGUUCAGUCUCUGGAUAUAGACCCGAAACCAGGUGAUCUAGCCAUGGGCAGGUUGAAGGUUGAGUAACAUCAACUGGAGGACCGAACCGACUAAUGUUGAAAAAUUAGCGGAUGACUUGUGGCUAGGGGUGAAAGGCCAAUCAAACCUGGAGAUAGCUGGUUCUCCCCGAAAGCUAUUUAGGUAGCGCCUCGGACGAAUACUACUGGGGGUAGAGCACUGUUAAGGCUAGGGGGUCAUCCCGACUUACCAACCCUUUGCAAACUCCGAAUACCAGUAAGUACUAUCCGGGAGACACACGGCGGGUGCUAACGUCCGUCGUGGAGAGGGAAACAACCCAGACCGCCAGCUAAGGUCCCAAAUUACUACUAAGUGGGAAACGAUGUGGGAAGGCUCAGACAGCCAGGAUGUUGGCUUAGAAGCAGCCAUCAUUUAAAGAAAGCGUAAUAGCUCACUGGUCGAGUCGGCCUGCGCGGAAGAUGUAACGGGGCUAAGUAGUAAACCGAAGCUGCGGCAAUACUCUUUGAGUAUUGGGUAGGGGAGCGUUCUGUAAGCGGUUGAAGGUGUGUGGUAACGCAUGCUGGACGUAUCAGAAGUGCGAAUGCUGACAUGAGUAACGAUAAAGGGGGUGAAAAACCUCCUCGCCGGAAGACCAAGGGUUCCUGUCCAACGUUAAUCGGGGCAGGGUAAGUCGACCCCUAAGGCGAGGCCGAAAGGCGUAGUCGAUGGGAAACGGGUUAAUAUUCCCGUACUUCUUACAAUUGCGAUGGGGGGACGGAGAAGGCUAGGUGGGCCUGGCGACGGUUGUCCAGGUUCAAGUGCGUAGGCUUGAGAGUUAGGUAAAUCCGGCUCUCUUUAAGGCUGAGACACGACGUCGAGCACCUACGGGUGUGAAGUCAUUGAUGCCAUGCUUCCAGGAAAAGCCUCUAAGCUUCAGAUUGUAAGGAAUCGUACCCCAAACCGACACAGGUGGUCGGGUAGAGAAUACCAAGGCGCUUGAGAGAACUCGGGUGAAGGAACUAGGCAAAAUGGUACCGUAACUUCGGGAGAAGGUACGCUCUUGAUGGUGAAGUCCCUUGCGGAUGGAGCUGACGAGAGUCGCAGAUACCAGGUGGCUGCAACUGUUUAUUAAAAACACAGCACUGUGCAAAAUCGUAAGAUGACGUAUACGGUGUGACGCCUGCCCGGUGCCGGAAGGUUAAUUGAUGGGGUUAGACUUCGGUCGAAGCUCUUGAUCGAAGCCCCGGUAAACGGCGGCCGUAACUAUAACGGUCCUAAGGUAGCGAAAUUCCUUGUCGGGUAAGUUCCGACCUGCACGAAUGGCGUAAUGAUGGCCACGCUGUCUCCACCCGAGACUCAGUGAAAUUGAAAUCGCUGUGAAGAUGCAGUGUACCCGCGGCUAGACGGAAAGACCCCGUGAACCUUUACUACAGCUUGGCACUGAACAUUGACCCUACAUGUGUAGGAUAGGUGGGAGGCUUUGAAGCACGUACGCCAGUAUGUGUGGAGCCGUCCUUGAAAUACCACCCUUGUAGUGUUGAUGUUCUAACGUCGACCCCUUAUCGGGGUUGCGGACAGUGCCUGGUGGGUAGUUUGACUGGGGCGGUCUCCUCCCAAAGAGUAACGGAGGAGCACGAAGGUGGGCUAAUCACGGUUGGACAUCGUGAGGUUAGUGCAAUGGCAUAAGCCCGCUUGACUGCGAGAAUGACAAUUCGAGCAGGUGCGAAAGCAGGUCAUAGUGAUCCGGUGGUUCUGAAUGGAAGGGCCAUCGCUCAACGGAUAAAAGGUACUCCGGGGAUAACAGGCUGAUACCGCCCAAGAGUUCAUAUCGACGGCGGUGUUUGGCACCUCGAUGUCGGCUCAUCACAUCCUGGGGCUGAAGUCGGUCCCAAGGGUAUGGCUGUUCGCCAUUUAAAGUGGUACGCGAGCUGGGUUUAGAACGUCGUGAGACAGUUCGGUCCCUAUCUGCCGUGGGCGUUGGAAGAUUGAAGGGGGCUGCUCCUAGUACGAGAGGACCGGAGUGGACGAACCUCUGGUGUUCGGGUUGUGUCGCCAGACGCAUUGCCCGGUAGCUAAGUUCGGAAUCGAUAACCGCUGAAAGCAUCUAAGCGGGAAGCGAGCCCUGAGAUGAGUCUUCCCUGAUACUUUAAGUAUCCUAAAGGGUUGUCGGAGACUACGACGUUGAUAGGUCAGGUGUGUAAGUGCUGUGAGGCAUUGAGCUAACUGAUACUAAUUGCCCGUGAGGCUUAACCAUACAACAC